RNAcentral lists this ribosomal RNA (253 nucleotides) under uncultured bacterium. RNAcentral describes it as "partial 16S ribosomal RNA". It matches the Rfam family "Bacterial small subunit ribosomal RNA", at positions 524 to 776 of the family's 1533-position model. The record is from RNAcentral.
UACGUAGGGGGCAAGCGUUGUUCGGAUUUACUGGGCGUAAAGGGCGCGUAGGCGGUGGCACAAGUCAGUUGUGAAAUCUCCGGGCUUAACUCGGAAAGGUCAACUGAUACUGUGCGACUAGAGUGCAGAAGGGGCAACUGGAAUUCUCGGUGUAGCGGUGAAAUGCGUAGAUAUCGAGAGGAACACCUGCGGCGAAGGCGGGUUGCUGGGCUGACACUGACGCUGAGGCGCGAAAGCCAGGGGAGCGAACGGG